UACAAAAGACACAAAGCACCAGACUCCACAGCAUCAACACUCUUAGAGCAAGAGCACCACAGCCUCCCAGUCAUUAGUAGUUGUAGAUGUUUCAUCUCCACUUGUAAUAAAGCCUUAUGUUGAAGGCAUUGUAUCAUCAGGUAGCGAAGAUUGGAAGGAAGAAGGGAUCCUAUAGGAGAAAUCUCUGUCGGGAGUUUACCCUUGUGUGGCGUCUGAUGAGAACCUUGUGGCCAUAGAGUGUUCCCUUCAGAUGGAACUGCCUGGCAAGACGGACCUUUUAAGGCUGCAGAAACCAAGAAAAUGACCGAUGGUCUGUGUAGUGGUUGUGUUAGUCCUACUCGGAGUUUUGUCCAGAUCGAGGAUUUUUUCUAGACUGAAGACCUUGUCCUAACAGAGGAUCUUUUUUCCAAAGUGAAGACCUUGUCUUGACAGAGGAUUUUGUCCAAACUGAAGACAUUGUCCCCAUCAUAUUUUUAUAUUCUUGGCCUCUUGUGCCAUGAUUUUAUUUCAAGACAUCCAUGUGUCGUUGCAUGCCAUGAAGUAUUAUGUAAGCCAUCCAUGCGUGGCUUAGUAUUCUAGCUUGAAUGAAGGACUUUAUCUUGAUUGAGGAGUUUAGCUUAACUCCUCUCAUUUGCCUUUCCUGAUACGGGUGAUGCUCCUUGUUGGUCUCUACUUGCACAAAUAUUCAUCCUACAGAUAUUUUAGGUAGGAGUCUUCCCCGCCCAUAUUAUUGAUAAUACUUUAUCAAUAUUCAGAUUAUAUCAAUAUUCGGGUAUAGAUCCUCUGCACCCGAAUAAUUGAUAGUCAUAUCAAUUCAUGUUCAGAUAUAUUUGAGGAUUAUGCUUAUGAUCUUCUAAUUGAUUGGUUCCCGUGUUCGGCAAUAUCCAUAUGAUCUUCAUCGGAAAGAUUGGGGUAAUAUUUUUUAUCAUAUUCUUUCUUUAGAUUUCAAAAUUUCCAUCAUUUCCAAUCAUAAUUCUUUUAAAAUUUCUU
Triticum aestivum (bread wheat) is the source of this 990-nucleotide long non-coding RNA. RefSeq lists it as uncharacterized. The record is from RefSeq and is a predicted model, not a curated record. The transcript has 4 exons. NCBI's taxonomy places the organism in Eukaryota, Viridiplantae, Streptophyta, Magnoliopsida, Poales, Poaceae.